RNAcentral lists this transfer RNA (62 nucleotides) under Carassotrema koreanum. RNAcentral describes it as "tRNA-Tyr". Lineage: Eukaryota; Metazoa; Platyhelminthes; Trematoda; Plagiorchiida; Haploporidae. The record is from RNAcentral.
ACUGACUUAGUAUAUAGAUUACGUGAGAUUGUAAAUCUCGAAGGGGGUGACACCAGUCAGGA